GACGAAGGUGGCGAGCGUUACUCGGAAUUACUAGGCGUAAAGCGUGGGCAGGCUGUUCGGUAAGUCUGUUGUGAAAGCUCCCGGCUCAACCGGGAGAGGCCAAUGGAUACUGCCGGGCUUGAAUCGGGGAGGGGUCACUGGAAUUCCUGGUGUAGCGGUGAAAUGCGUAGAUAUCAGGAGGAACACCAAUGGCGAAGGCAGGUGACUGGACCCGUAUUGACGCUCAUCCACGAAAGCUGGGGGAGCAAACAGG
RNAcentral lists this ribosomal RNA (253 nucleotides) under uncultured bacterium. Its description in RNAcentral is "partial 16S ribosomal RNA". It matches the Rfam family "Bacterial small subunit ribosomal RNA", at positions 524 to 776 of the family's 1533-position model. The record is from RNAcentral.